Molecule: ribosomal RNA, 497 nt
Filed under: uncultured bacterium
Lineage: Bacteria
Description: partial 16S ribosomal RNA
Rfam family: Bacterial small subunit ribosomal RNA
Source: RNAcentral
GUUGAACGCUGGCGGCGUGCCUAAUACAUGCAAGUCGAGCGAACGGACGAGAUGCUUGCUUCUCUGAUGUUAGCGGCGGACGGGUGAUUAACACGUGGAUAACCUGCCUAUAGGACUAGGAUAACUUCGGGAGACCGUAUCUAAUACCGGAUAAUAUUUUGAACCGCAUGGUUCAAAAGUGAAAGACGGUCUUGCUGUCACUUAUAGAUGUUUCCGCGCUGCUUUAGCUAGUUGGUAAGGUAACGGCUUACCAAGGCAACGAUGCAUAGCCGACCUGAGAGGAUGAUCGGCCACACUGGAACUGAGACACGGUCCAGACUCCUACGGGAGACAGCAGUAGGGAAUCUUCGGCAAUGGGCGAAAGCCUGACGGAGCAACGCCGCGUGAGUGAUGAAGGUCUUCGGAUCGUAAAACUCUGUUAUUAGGGACGAACAUAUGUGUAAGUAACUGUGCACAUCAUGACGGUACCUAAUCAGAAAGCCACGGCUAACUACGUG